GGGGCGCAGCAGCCGGGGGCCCAGGCACCGCCGGGGGAGGGAGCGCUGCGGCUAACGUCGGCUCCAGCGACCGCCAGAGGCCGGCGAGCACAUGGGGUGCGCGCGCAGUCGUCGACGGAGCAGCCCCCCCGCGGGCGCGACAGCCGAGCGGCGCUGCCCCCCCGCACUCCGAGACCGCGGGCCCAGGGGCGCUGGCCGCGAAUUCGGCACCGCGGGGCACACGCCCCAAGGCCUGCCUUACCCGGACGGGAGGACAAGCGGGGACGCCCAGCACUCAAGGCUGACGCUCAGAGGCACUCGGAGCUCCCCGAUCCUCAGCUCCCAGCGAGGCCAACCGUGGGUCCCAAUUCCGGGCUGCAGGGCCGCGCUCCUCCACGCCGGCCUCCCUUGCACGUGGGAAACGCAGAGAGCCUGGGAAUUCCACUGACGCUGGCAUCUGUGAGCCGCACAAUGAAACCCCGUGUCUGAUUUCCUGCCCUGAGCCCUUGAGGGAGAGGGAGUAAGAGGAUUUGGGGGGCUGCGGAGCAGGGACGCUGCUGGUUCUACUGUGAGCCAAGCGGACAGGGAAGGACCCUGAGCUCGUCCCGCCUCGCCGCGCUGUCGGGGCGCCCCGGGCACCUCGCACACCCCGACCUCGCAGCCGUAGUGAGCACCACGGGCAGGGGAGCACCCGCCCGCCCCCGGCUCCCCGCGCCGGGGGGCCUGGAGCCUGCCGCCUGGGGGGUCCCUGCCGCCGCCCAGGAGUCUCACCCCCCCAAGGGCAAGGGCGGAGCCGCCCCCAGGAUCCAUCCCGGCGGUCCGGCUCGGGGCCCACGCCGGUUCAGUCCCCAAUCAGGCGGCAGGAGUCAGCAUUCUAGAAACAGUCCCUCCGCGGAGGGAACUGCAGGCGAGCAGCAGGGUCCUCGGCCUGACGGCGGGGACUGCGGGGACGGGCGGCCCGGAGCCCCCCGGAGCCCCGGGGCUGUGGGAGGAACCUGAGGCCCAGGGCGAGGGCAGGAGGGGGGGCUGGCCUCCGAAGCGAGGGCCCUGGACUCGUGGGGGGACUGCUGUCGCCCGCGGGGAAGGAGGAAGCCACAUGACCCUCCAAGGGGGGACCCCGCGCAGGAGGGGGCUGCUGAGGCCCCGGCUUCCCGCCGCUGGGCCUGGCCUGGGCGCCCCACCUCUGCUGUACCCCCGCCCCCCGCUGCCAUUCCUGCUGCAAUGACUGUGGUUCUUAGGCCUCGUGUGCUUUCCCACACCUGCCUGGACGCUCCCCUGUGUUUGAAGGAAGCCCCGCACCCAGCCUGGGGCUGGGACGCCCCACCCCGACACCCAGGGGUGCGGCCCUGGCGACCGGCCGCCCAGCUGCGCCUGGCCUGGGCCCCUCGGAUGUCGGCUCUUCCCGUGACGCCUUGCCCUGGGUCCUCGGGUCCGUGUAGCUCAGGGGC
RNAcentral lists this long non-coding RNA (1427 nucleotides) under Canis lupus dingo (dingo). RNAcentral describes it as "lncRNA (ENSCAFG00020022052.1)". The record is from RNAcentral. Lineage: Eukaryota; Metazoa; Chordata; Mammalia; Carnivora; Canidae.